GAAUGUGAGGGCCGUCUGACUGCUAUAUCUGACACCCUGUUCAUUGAUCCUCAGGGUUAAGAGGCUGAUCUGGCUGUCCAGGUGGGUGUCUCUAUCCUCCCUCACUAUUUAAUACACAUCUGUCCAAAGCCGCAGGCUCCCUUGAAAAAGGAGAACCUUCCCGGAUAGAGACAGAAAGGUCUCUGUUGUGUGGUG
Molecule: small nuclear RNA, 195 nt
Filed under: Erinaceus europaeus (western European hedgehog)
Lineage: Eukaryota; Metazoa; Chordata; Mammalia; Eulipotyphla; Erinaceidae
Description: 7SK RNA
Rfam family: 7SK RNA
About the family: 7SK was discovered as an abundant small nuclear RNA in the mid-70s but a possible function has only recently been suggested. Two independent studies have found that 7SK RNA binds the CDK9/cyclin T complex (known as elongation factor P-TEFb). P-TEFb activates transcription by phosphorylating the C-terminal domain of RNA polymerase II.
Source: Rfam by way of RNAcentral